GAAAUGCGAUAAGUAAUGUGAAUUGCAGAAUUCAGUGAAUCAUCGAAUCUUUGAACGCACAUUGCGCCCCUUGGUAUUCCGAGGGACAUGCCUGUUCGAGCGUCAUUACACCACUCAAGCUAUGCUUGGUAUUGGGUGCCGUCCUUAGUUGGGCGCGCCUUAAAGACCUCGGCGAGGCCUCACCGGCUUUAGGCGUAGUAGAAUUUAUUCGAACGUCUGUCAAAGGAGAGGACUUCUGCCGACUGAAACCUUUUAUUUUUCUAGGUUGACCUCGGAUCAGGUAGGGAUACCCGCUGAACUUAAGC
Molecule: unclassified non-coding RNA, 305 nt
Filed under: plant metagenome
Description: partial contains 5.8S ribosomal RNA, internal transcribed spacer 2, and large subunit ribosomal RNA
Rfam family: 5.8S ribosomal RNA (bases 1-105)
Source: RNAcentral